Molecule: long non-coding RNA, 2904 nt
Organism: Equus asinus (donkey)
Lineage: Eukaryota; Metazoa; Chordata; Mammalia; Perissodactyla; Equidae
Source: Ensembl
GGAACCGAAGUAUGCACAGCCUCUUUAUUGCUAGAACCGCUAUAAUUUAAUAUUGAGCUAAUAAUUUGAGUUAAUAUUUAUAAAGCACUUAGAAAGAGCCCAGCACAUAGUAAUAGCUAUCUAAGUUUUCAUUGAAUAAAUAAGGCACUUUCCAGAUUGGUUGGGUGAAUUCUUAACCUAGUGACAAAAUACAGAAUCAAAAUACACAGCAAUCUAAAUUUUUUUUUACCUUGAUAAAGAUUUAGGAACUGUAGUGCUCUGUAUUUAUUCCCACAUUUCAAGUGUACCCUAUAUAGUCUCUUGUGCAGGUCUAAAAUUAUACUCAUGGUUCAGAAAUCAAUGUGCACAAUUAAAUAAUGAAAGAGUUCAAGUUUCAAGAGAUGAAUUCUCUUUCCUCUCUCUCCAAGUAACCACCACUAAAAAUGACAAACUCUAAAAAUCUCAAAGCACUCCUAGAUGUACAGCCGAAUGCUAAAAGUGUGGGAAUAAACAGAGACAAAUUCACUUGAAAAGAGACGGAAAGGGUUCAAAUCACAAGAGAACUUAAGGGAUAGCAAUGGCAUUAAAGUCUCAAGACACCAGGUCCGCUGACAACAGGUUGAUUCCCGUGCCCUCCACUCCCGAGGCCUCCUCCAUCCCUGAUCCUCGCAGGUGACCCGCAGCCACUUUCGACCUCAGGUUGGGGUCUCCCUCCCUCCCCGUUCCCAGCUCCUCUUCGCUCUGAAGGUGCGCACGGGUUAACACUGUCGGUCCACCGACACCACUCGGGCGUUUAGGAAUCAAAAAGCAGAAUCUGAAUCCACCACGGGGAGACAAAGACCACAAACUCUGAGUCGGGUGCUGAGGCGAGGGUAUUGCUUUUCCCCUUCCGACCAACUCGGAGGUUUCCGGGCGGAGGUGCGGAGAGCUGCCAGGGGACCCGGGAAAGUCACGUUUGCUCCGUGGAGCGGCGGCAGUCGAGGCCCGUGACCCCCCGCCGCGCCCCAUCUCACCCGCCCGGGGACCUCGGGCUGCGGUCCGGACGCGCGCGGCCCCUGCCGCCCGCCCCCGCCGUGGGUCGCCGCGGCCCCACACCUACCCGGCUCCGCGGGGCUCCUCCCGGCGCGGCGGGCGCGGAGCCGAGCGCACCCGCGCUUCCUCCUUCCCGGCAGGGCCGCCGGGCGCCGGCGUUUCCUCCCUGACGCGUCACGGCGGCAGGCGGCUCCUCCCGCGGAGGGCGCGGGCGGCCCGGAGACCGGCGGCGGGCAGUGCGCGGGGAAGGCGCCCGCCGCGGAAGCCGGCUGUCCGGCCUCUUCCCGGGGGACCCCUCCGAUCCCGGGCCGCAGCGCGAAGGCCGGCCCGCCUCUCCGUGUGCGCGAAGCUCAGGGACGCCGGGGGUCCUGUCUGGAGGCUCAGACUCCCCGGCGUUUCGCGCUGCUCAGUGUUAGCGACCUCUGCCCGGGGCCCGAGAGCCGCUUGGGCCAAGGCGCCCGGGGCCGGCCAGUGAAGACGACCCUGGUGUGGGCAAGGAGCAGGAGCGCUGGACCGCCGGAGGGAUCAGCGUCGCCCGAGGAAUGGCCUGGCGGACAUGUGGCUGGGGGUCACCUGGAAACUCAAGAGAAGUGAAAUAAAUAGGAUAAAGAGAGGUACAGAAGGUGAAUGGAGAACUAAGAAUUAUAUGAUUCAAUGGGUGUGGAGUAAAGUGGUCAAGAUUUUGAAGCAGAGUGUUUUGUUUUGUUUGUUUUUUGCCGCACAACACUACUGUAAUUUAAAUUUUAUCAGAUAUCACUUGAAGAUAGACUCAAACAACUAUUUAAAGAUUCCUAUAUGCGUAACGUGCUUCAGAUUUUGAGGCAAUUGUCUGCUGUACACCAUCUGAUUCCAGAGAAUUUGCUACAAAUCUAUGAACAAGUAAACUUCCAGAGAUGAAAUGCCCAGUAGGAGACAUGGACCUCUAUAAAGGAUUGGAGCUCUGCAGCCUGGGUACAGUGUUGGGGGAGGCAGACAGCUGGACUGAACCUGGGCUGAGAAGGACAGUGGAGGAAGAGAGCCCAAGUGGGGGCCAUGCCAUUUACACUUGCUAAGGAAAGGAGGAGGUGACAGGCAGAAACUCGAGGCCAAGGGCAUGGGGGACUGAAACAGGUAUAAAAUGCUGGAAGAUGACACCAGACAUCUGAGUCAGAGAAAAAGAAGCUUUUAUCUCAAUGCACAGCAUAAAAAGCAUGAACAUCAGAAUGUUUGCAUCAAUUCCUCUUGCCUCCAAGUUCCACAGGAGUGAUGCGAAGGGGCCCGGAUAGAUGCCACACAUGCAGUGGGUUGUGUUGCAGCAAGGAAACAAUGAGCUUGGAGAACCCACUGCUUUUCUGGCAAGCAGCAAGCUCAGCCAGCUCUUUGUCCCAGAGGAGAUGAUACUUCAUCUCUCAAGAUUGCUUGCUGCAAACAAACCAUGAAAAAUGGCUUGGGUAAAGAGUGGUGUGGUGGAAAGCCUGGAAGAUGGCCCAUAAUGGUUCUUGCCUCUGGGUAUUCACUCUUUUGCAAAUCCCCUCCAGUUGACUGUGGGCUGGACUUACCGACUUACUUCUUACUAACUGAAUACAGCACAAGUGACAGGAUGUUGCUCCUGAGGUGAAGUUAUAAAAAGACUGUGGCUUCUGUCUUGGGCACCCUCUCAUGUUCUCUCACUCACUCACUCUGAGGGAAGACAGCUGUCACGUUGUGAGUUGCCUUAUGGAGAGACCAGCAUGGCAAGGAAAGGAUGUCUUUGGCCAACAGUCAGCAAGGACUUGAGGCCUGCUAACAGCCACAUAAGUGAGCUUGGAAGCAGAGUCUCCCCCAUUCAAGGCUGGACAUGACUGCAGCCCUGGCCUACACCUUAUUGCAGCCUUUUCAGAGACCCUGAGUCAGGGGCACCUGGCUAGGCUGCAC